UACACACCGCCCGUCACACCAUGGGAGCCGGUUGCUCCAGAAGUGCCUGCGCCAACCCGCAAGGGAGGUAGGGUCCCAAGGAGUGGCUGGUAACUGGGGUG
RNAcentral lists this ribosomal RNA (101 nucleotides) under uncultured bacterium. Its description in RNAcentral is "partial 16S ribosomal RNA". It matches the Rfam family "Bacterial small subunit ribosomal RNA", at positions 1384 to 1482 of the family's 1533-position model. The record is from RNAcentral.